CAACUCUUAUAAAAGGAAAACAUUUAAUUUGGUGGCUUAUAGUUCAGAGGUUCAGUCCAUUAUCUUCAUGGUGGCACGUGGUGGCACACAGACAGACAUGGUGCUAUAGAGGAAGCUGAGAGUUUUUCAUCUUGAUAUGCAGGUAACUGGAAGGGAACUGGGACCCGGGGGGUGGCCUGAGUGUAUAGAUCUCAAAGCCUGCAUCCACAGUGACAUACUUCCUCCAACAAAGUCACACCUAUGACAAGGCCAUACCUACUUAUAGUACCACUUCCUAUAAGCUUAUGUUGUCCAACUGCAUUCAAACUACCACAGGUAGUAUUUACAAACAACAAUAUCCUACAGAAAUACUCAAUGAAAUACAUAAAUGAAAUUCAGUUUUUCCUAAAAGGUAUAAGCCCAUAUUGAAAUCACACAUGGAACCUCUCUUGUGUAUUGGAACUACUAUAUGUAACAUGCAAAACAUGUCUUAAAUCUAUCACAGAAUGGCUAAAAUCAGUCACCUCUCCAUAUAUCCUGAUUCCUUUCCAUGGAGAAAUGUAUUUAGAAGCAAGGCAUGUUCAUAUAGUAAGAUUAGGGACAGUAAAAUGUCUGUGAUCUGAAGUUGCUUUUUUAAAAAAUUUAUGGCUCCAACAAUAAGAUAUUUUUCAUGAGUCAUAUUUUGAUUGACUUGAACAACUCAAAGAAUAACAUAUCUUUAAUACACUAUUCAUAUUAUGACAAUAUUAGCUAUUGACAGGAAUAUGUCAGAAAGACUAUGAAAGUGUUUCUUGUUUGGGAUAAUGGCAUCAGUUGCAGAGCUCAUCACAUUGUUUCCUCUAAUUCAGAAAUGCUGGCUGCCCCAUUGUUCUCUGGAUCUGUGUUUUUUGGGGAGCCUAAGAAUGGGCCUUUCAGAAUGUUGCUUGUCUUCUGGGUUUUAGUUAAUUUUAAAACUUACCCAGUUCCAAGUGCUCAACUAUGUAUGAAUGGUUUGCUUGUAUUAACCUCACAUCACUCAAGGCUCAAGAAACUUCAGGAAUGAAGGUCUUAAAGAUGUAAGAUCAGAUAAAUGGGAGGGGAGCUUACACACCAUGACUUUUGUAGAAACCAUGGUGGUAGAACACAAAAAUCUAAAGUAUCUUGUGAUCCCCUUCCGAGAUCAAGUCUGUCAAAAUUUCACCACAGAUGAUGGAGGGGCUCCAAAAGCUCUACUCUUGAAGUUAAAUAAGUUAUUGGCAAUUGAUGACUCCUGAAGAAAAAUAGGCUAUAACUUGAAAUGGAGUGAGGAGGAUGACACAGGUAGAGUUGAAUAAAGGAAAGCAGAAAGAGAUAAUCACAUUUUAAUUAAAAUAUUUUAAAAGUUAUAAUGCCAAAUUACAUAAAUCAAUAAUCUUGAACUAUGACUUUUUUUUUUUACCAUUUUGUGUUUGUUUUCUCAGAAUUAUACUUUUGAAAUCUAUCCAUGUUGACAUAAGUUGGAGUAGGCAGGUCUUCUAGAAUUGCCUUUUGUGACUACACACUUUAGAUUCUCCUCACACCGAUGGCUUCUUAGGAAUUCUGCCAAAGUUUUGCUUCCUAUGACCCUUACAAUGCACAUUUUUUUUUAAAAAAAAAACUAAAUAAGCAUUUGUUCUACCACCAAACAUUUCAUUUUUGCUCAUAUAUCCUACUCUUGAUGGUAAAAAUAUGUUUUCAGUUUUAAGAGUGGAAAAGUUUAGUAAUCAGUUCUAUCUCUUACUUUGUCUCUGUGUCUUUGAGAGAUAGUGAGACAAACAAAAUGGGACAGAAAAUCAUCCAAUUCCUGGUGAAGUCAGGUACCAGAUCAAUCAUAAGAUGAAUAUUUCCCUGAAAUAUAUUAAAAGAAUAUCUCAUUCAUUCAGAAUUAUUCAUUACAUCUUAACAGAAGUAGGACUAUUAGAAUGUAUUAAAAAUAGAAAUAGCAAAUAUAGAUUUCCUACUUAGAAAAAUAGUUAAUGCAUACACACAAACCUCAGUCUCCCUCAUUUCCUGGCUGUCACAGAACUUUAAAUUAUUCUAAUAUAGGGCACCAAUUAGGUCAUGGUUGUUUUGAGAUAGUUAUUGUCUUUCAAACACAGUGCAAUCAUUAUGGCAUUUAUAGCCCUACUCUGGAGUUUUUCCUUACAGGAUUUUUCCUCCAAAUCACUCUGACCUGUUGAUAAUUUAAAUCUAACAACCUGAUUAGGUGAACAGAGGCAUUAUAGAAACUAACUAGUAUAUUAGACAACCAAACAAGGUCAGAGGAGAGAAGAAGGGAUGGUGUUAGUGAGAUAAUUACCUUUUUCUUGGCCCCUAAUGAAUUCAUUUACUAAUGCUUGUAAUAUUAGAUUGACAACUUGUAAUUUAUCUAAUUGUUCCAUAAAAUUUCAGUGCAAUUCUGAAGAAAAAAACAAGAAACAAACAAAAUCUGAGGUGUAGUUCUAGCAUCUUCAAGUAUACAAAAUAAUUUUCUAAAGACAUUUUUUCUAAGAAGUGGGCAACUUAAAAUUAAAAAAUGCAAUAUAUACUGAAAUAGAAAUAUUUUAAAGUAACUGGGUCAUUUUUCCUGGUCAAAUUUAAAUAAAGUACAAAUAACGUGCUCAUUUCUCUUGGGAAAACAGUUGGCUGACUUGUGUAUGAAUGAAAAUACUAAUUCUAACAUUUUAAAAUUAAGUCUAUCAAGAGAAGUUAAGUUUUGGUGCUGUAAAACAUGCUGAUAUUGUUUGAUUAACAUUUUUAUUUUAUUUAUGUAUUUUAAAAGUGUUGUCAAAACUGUAGUUGCAUGCAUGGUUGUAAGAAAUGAUACUGAGCAAUCCUAUGAAUACAACUCCAGUCCGAAUUAAAACACAUUAAAACCCUCAGCCCAAUUUCAUAAGCAGGGCUAUUUGAGGGUUCAUCACUUCCCACUGCCCUUUAAAAUCCAUAUGCAUCUCCCUGUUACCCUGGAGCAGACCCUUUUGUCAUCACUUUAAGGACAUUUAAUGAAUGGGAUCUCACAGUUCUUGAACAUUGAAUAAUGGCUUUUUUUCCACUCCAUAUUAUUCUUAGAAAUAUAUCCACUUUGUUUUGAUCAUCAAUAAUACAUUCGUAUUAUUGCUGAGGAAGAUGUUCCAUUUGUUGUUUAAUCACUCACCUCUUGAAAGGUGUCUGCAUCAUUUCUUGUUUGGUGCCUUUGUGACUACUUAAGGCACACCAAUGGGACAGUUUUCACUAAAAAUACAUUCUUUUGUUUCUUGAGAAGAAGACAUAAUAGUGCCAUUUUAUGGUCCAUAUGUUAGGUGAAUGCUUAUAUUAAUUUGGAAAUUCCAAACUGUUUAUGUAGUUGCUUUAUUGGGUUAAAACCCUACCUUCAGGUGCAAGUCCUCCAGGUUCUCUUAGUCCUCACAGAGUGUGUGGGUUUCAGUUUUUGCAUUAAUCAUUUUGAUUGGAGUAUGGUCACUGCUUACUGUUACUAAUACCUGUUUCUGUUGCAUGAAUAAUAAAAUCCCAAAGACAGACAUUGGAGUUCAAGCUGAUGAUCAGAAAAGCAAAGCAGCCAGUGCUCAAGAGUUCUCACCUCUAGCAAUGCUCAGACCACAGGGGUGAUCCCCUAAACCUCAGAUUGCAUCUGCAGACUGCACUGCCCUCCAUCAAGUCUCAGGAUCCCAGACUGCUAUGCUCUCCUCAUCGUGACUGGAGACUAAUUGCCACACGAGACCCUUUUCUUCUUCCUUAUAUACAUCUCUAGUGCUAGGAUUAAAGGCAGUAAAGCCUUCCAUUGGGAGUCAACAAAGUCUGCAUACCAAGUUGAAGCAGGACCAUUCUGCCACCCCCUGCAUAUCAAGGCUGACCAAGACUGAGAAGUAGAUCCAGUUUCUUUCUUCCCUAUGUGAUGAAUACCCAGUUUUCCUAGUACCAUUUACUAAGGAAACUUGUCUCCAAUGUAAGUUUUUCCCCGAAUUCUUUUCUUUUUCUCUUUAUUUGUGACAUCUUUGUCAAAAAGCAAUUGGCUAUAUACAUUUAUGUCUGAAUAUUCUGCUCUAUUUGUUUAUACUAUUUAUUUACACCUGUUUUAUUAUAUUUCGUCAGUGCCAUACUAUGUUUGUCACUAUAUCUCUGUAUUGCAAUUUGUGGUUAAAUAACAUGAUACCUCCAACUUUUAUUCUAUUGCCUUGAUCAUUAUAUUUGCUUUGGUAACAUUAUGUUUGAUACUUAUGUUUCAUAGUACACUCUGAAAUCAAGUAGAACAAAUUUCCUCAGGAUUUCUUUGACUAUUAAAAUCAUUUGUGAUUGCCUCCAUAUGUAUUUUAUAAAUUCUUAAAUUAAUGAAAUUGAAUUUUUGAUGAAGGAAAUAAAUUGUUACAGGGAGCAUCCUUGCUUUUUUUAAAUAUUACAGUUUUGACAUUUCCCAUACAUAGUACUAGUAUAUUUUACUAUUAUAAGUCAUAUUUCUUCUAUACGUAAUUGUCUUAGAAUUGUCAUCAUGAUACAAUGAUGAAGUUUUCCAAAUUUCUACUACAUAUCUGUCGAGAAGUUUAUAUAUAAUUUUGUACUUCAUUAUACUUCAUUAUUAUACUUCAUUAUUAGCAUAUGUUGCACCAUUCUUGCAUCCCUGCCAUUUGAUCAUAGCAAAUAUUAUUAAUGUGAUGACAUACUUGGCUUAUUAGCAUUUUUAAGAAUUUGUUCUUCAAUAUCCAUUAAGAAAAUUAGCUAAUACUGUUUUCUUUAUUUUGUGUUUUUUCCUUUGAUAUUAUUUAUCAGAUUAGUGUUAACCUUAUAAAAUGCUCCUAUAAACUAUUCUCUUUCCUGUGUUUUGGAAUAAUCUAGGAAAACCUGUAUUAGAUAUCAGUUAAAAUUUGAAAAAUCCCAGAGGGGAUCCCGCUUUAACAUGGCCUGAUAGGAGUCUUUAGGCUAUUAAUUCAAUAUCAUGAUUGUUAUUGGCCUAUUAGUAUUUAUUUUCUCAUGAUUCUGUCUUGGCAAGCUGUUCAGGCAUUUGUCUAUUCCAUUUAAGUUAUCAAAUUUGUUGGUGCAUAGUUGCUCGUAACAGUCUCUAACAAUCAAAUGCAUCUGGUGUCAGCUGUAAAAUCCAAAUUUCCACAUCUUUGACAUCCUCAAGUCACUUUCUGUCCUAAGCAAGGAUCCCAUUUGCAAUUAAUUCAUUGUGGAAAUGGAAAAAUCAUUUUUCUUCGAUGGAUGUCACCAGGUAUAUCAAUCAAUCCAGGGUAGGUCGCUAUUCCCAGCAGUAGUUAGCCAAUACAACACAGAUUUUUUCUUUUUGUACCCUUUCUUUUUCUUUUUCUUUUAACCUGAAUUCUUUAAUUACCACUCAUAUUUACAUAUCCAUCCCCCCAUUUCCUCACCCUCCCAUCCUCCCAAGUUCCCCACCAACCCCCCCCCAAACCAUCUGCCAACUCUUGCCCAGGGAAGUUAGUUUCUUGUUUUUUGUUUCUUUUUAUUUUUAAUUUUUUCUUGUUGCUUUUAGUUUUAUUUGUGAGAGAAAAAUAACUUAUGAUUGGGUGCUCAGGAAAGUGAGAGGAGUUGGGGAGGGGAAAAUAAAAUCAAAACAUAUUGUGUGAAAUUUAUUUUUGUUUCAUUUAUUAAAUUUAUACAAAAUAUCAUACAAUAUAUUUAAUUCAUGUUUUCCCCUCUGAUAAUUCCUCCAAUAUUUCCCCCAUCUUGCUAUCCACUAAUAUUAAUGUUCUUUUGUUCCCUCUCUCUGCUUAAAAAUAAUAAAGAAAUAACCCCCCAAACACCCAUUGUUAAAAAGCCACUCACAAAAGUGCAAACCAAAAUAUAUGAACAAAAUAUCAAAAUGUCCAAAUAAGUAAAAUGGGGCAAAAAGUUUACAGAAAUAUUAUUGGGUUUGUUUGCAUCAUCCAACUCCAUGUGGGCAUGGGGCCUGACAUGAAUUUGUUUAUAUACUCACUGUUAUUCCAUUAGGAGUAAACUAAUUUUAUUUAACCAGGGGGAAUCAAUUAUAGAUACCUUCUAAAAUUUAUUGUUACAAAAACACUUACAAAUUAAAAUAUUUUAUAUGCUACUUUCAACAUUCUUUUCUUUUCUAACUGUGUACAAAUAGAUGAUUCUUUAUUUUACUUCUCUUUGGUGCAUGCUCCUUUCUUCUAGUCAGACUUCCAUUGCAUUUUUAUAUCAUAUGCUUUUAUUCUCAGGCAUCUGCAGAAAAUUUUAAAUUGCCUCAUUUUUUCUUUUGAGCUUGCUGUUGGUGUAUUGACAAACUUCUCUUGACUGUCCUAAUAUUAGAUAAGUUUCUUUGAAAGAGCUAUUUUCAGUUUUACACCUAAGAUUUCCUGUUUGCUCCAUCUCUGGGAUCUUAUAUUUACCAUUAAGCCAGUUCAUUAUUUCCUGAAAGAAUAUGAUGAUUAUUAGCUGCAGUGCCAACUUGCCAAGAGAAAGAACUUGUUGAAAACCCUUAUUCAGGCUUUAUUUAUGUUUGUCUUUCCAGGAUUUUUUUCUGGGUAAUUAUUCUAGUUUAUUUUUAAUGAAUUUAUUUUGUUUUUAUUAGAAAGAAAAUUAUUUUACAUGUCUAUCCCAGGUCCCUCUCCCUCCCCUCCUCCCUUGCCUCCUCCAAAUAACAUCCUACCUAUCCCAUAACCUUUCUGCUCCCCAGGGAUAUACAUGGCCCCCUGGAGAAGGGGAAAGGGACAUGAUCUCUUUCCAGAAUUUUUAUUCAGGCUAUCUAUGUUAUUCUCAGGCUAUUUUCGAUUCAAAUACUUCACCAUUGCAAGCCUAAGGCAAGAUUUCCUAUUGUCUGAUGUUAGUGUGUUGCCAAUAUUUUAAUGCUAGAUGCUGAUUAAAACUCUAUUUUGGUCCAUAUCCAUGUUGGGGUAUUAUUCAAUUGUAUGGAAAUAAUUUAUAAUGCAGCCUAUCCUCAUAAAAUUGCCCUGGGAUUGUGGUAGCUUUAGAAAACUUGUCCACAAACAGAGAUCAGGUUAAUGUACUAUUAAAUUCUGCAUGUUUCUAGAGAACAUCAAAAUGGAUAAUCCUACGUGAUAUCUGUGGCUACCAGUAUUCAAAUCUGUUUCACACCCUGAGAUUAAAGCUAGCCAAAUCCCUGACAACAAUAUGGAAGAACAAAAGUAAACAUUUUCCUGUGCUGCCCACUACUAUUGUGAUGUUGUAUGCAGUUUUCUUGGAGAUUAUUUAUUUUCUUCCCUGUUAGAGAGCUCAAUGGCAGACAAAGUGUUCCAUGGGAAACUAGGUGGGGCCAUGAUGGGCCAUUAAAGGAACAUGGGUGAGAGGCUACUUACAGGAGUUUGGAGAACUUAUGGGCAGCUCCAUCAACAAUGGAAUGCUUCUCUUCCUUCCAUAAGUUAUUAGCUAUUUAUAAAUCCUUAAUGUCUGAAGAAGCAUACUUUUACUUCAAUGUAUACAACUGUAGUGACUCCCAAUUGCGAUGGUCAUGGGUAACUCCAAAGAAACAACUACACACCAGGGCACAAGGUAUACACAUCCAUCUAUGGGUGGUGCUAUUUAGAAUAGAACUUAGUAAAUCUUGAACAAAAGUCCAUUCCUGCCACCUGUGCUACUGCAGGUGUUCCAGCUGUAGGAAAUUACAAGGUAGAGAACACAAGAAGCUGUCACAUGGUAAGUUUCACUCACCUGGAGCAAUGUUCAAGGACACAGUCACAUGAAUACUCCCUGUUUGUGCUAUAGGACAAUAAAAUCUUACUGUAUAUUAUUUCACAUAUAAUUUAACAUUUAUUAGUGCAAUUUCCUGUUUGCAAAUUUAAUAGGAAAUUAUUAAAAUUUUUACUUUGAGGCUACAUUGGCUGCCUUUAAAUUUUCUCCAAAAAAUUUCAAGUAUUUAAUUAACUUCAUGUGUCCCUUAAUUUGUCUUUAACUGUAAUUUAGAAUGAUGAUAUCCAUGAUGACUAAAUUGAGUGGAUAGCACUUGAAAUUUUUAGUCUAAUUGAACUGUCUUAGUUACUCUUCUUUUACCAUGACAAAACACUAUGACCAAGACAACUUAUAGAAAAGAAAGUGGUAAAUUUGGGAGCAUUCAUGAAAUUAGUCAUCUAGGCAGGCAUGACACUGAGGCAGUAGUUGAGAGCUUACCUCAUAUUCACAAGCAGAAGAAUAAUUGGGAACAAAUACUCAAAAAUAUGAUCUUUUGCAUACAUUCUCAUUCCAACCACCAUGAACUCUGUGUGUACUCCUUCUACUGACCUUAUGACAUUCUAUAAUAUAAACCACUUACAAAAAAACAUAGUGAUGCAAUAGAUUUGGAAUGUAUUACUUAAUAUUCACGAAAAUAUACCAUAAUUUUUUAUCCAUUUUUCUGUUAAGGAACAUCUAGGUAGUUCCCAAUUUCUGGCAAUUAUAAAUAAAGUUACAAUGAACACAGCUAAGUAAAUGUACUUGUGGUAGGAUUAACAGUCUCUUGGGUGUGUGCCCAAGAAUGGUAUAGAUGUGUCUUUUGGUGUCAAUUCCAAAUUUUCUGAAACACCACCAUGUAAAGGCUAUACAAGUUUGCGCCCUGAGCAACAUUUGGACGAAUGUUUCUGGCUUUCCCCAUCCUCACCAGAAUGAGAGAACCCUCAUAUUACUGAUCUUAGCCAUUCUGACAAGGGAAAGAUGGAAUCUCAAAGUAGUUUUGAUCUUCAUUUCCCUUAUGGAUAAAGAUGCCACACAUCUUUAAGUGUUUCUCAGUCUUUUGAGUUUCCUCUAUUUAGAAUUCUCUGUUUAGAUCUGUGCCCUGAUUUUAAUUGGAUUAUUAUAUGUUUUUUCUUAAGUUCUUUAAGUAUUUUGAAUAUGAGACUUCUAUUGUAUGUGGAGUUGGUAAAAAUCAUUUCUCAUUUUCAUAGGAUGCCUCUUGUCCUAUUGAUGGUGUCCUUUGUCUUAAAGAAGUGUUUUGGUUUCUUGACAUCCAUUUAAUAAUUGUUCAUCUUAAUUCCUGCUCUAUUAGUGUUCUGUUCAGCAAGUUGUAUGCUUUGUGAAUGUGUUAAAAAUUAUCCCACACUUUCUGUUGUAACAGGUUCAGUAUGCCUGAUUUUAUGUUGAGGUAUUGUUCUAUUUAGACUAUAGUUUGGGUAGGAUGCAAUAUAUGGCUCUAUUUGCAUUCUUCCACAGGCUGACAUCCAGUUUGAACAGUGCCAUUUGUAGCAGAUGGUUUCUUUAUUCAAGUGUGUAUUGCUGGCUUCUUCAUAAAAAAUCAGGCAUCCAUAGGAAUGUUAAUUUAUGUCGGUUUUUCAAUUCAAUUGCAUUUACCAAUAUGUCUGUUUUAUGCCAUUACCAUUCAGUUUUUAUUACUAUAUCUUUGUAGUAUAAAUUAAAAUCAUGGAGAGUGAUAUUCUCAGCAGUUAUUUUAUUGUUCAUGAUUAGGUAUCUUGAGUUAUUUUUUCCCAUAUGAAGUUGAGAAUUGUCUUUUCUAGGUCUGAAAAGAAUUUUGUUGGAAUUUUGAUGGAGAUUGCAUUGAAUCUUUUUAGGAUGUCCAGUUUUACUCUUUCUUACUGAUCCACAAACAUGGGAGAUCUUCCCAUCUCCCACUAUCUCUUUAAAUUCCUUUCUUCAAAGACAUGAUAUUUUUAUCAUGCAAGACUUUCACUAACUUGGCUAGUUACUCCUAAUAUGUUGUAUGUUAUUUGAGGAUAAUGUGAAGGGUAUUGUUUUCCUGAUUAAUUUCUCUGUCCAGUACAUUCAUUAUGAAGGGCUGUUGAACUUUUCAAAGGCCUUUUCUACUUCUAGCCAUAUGAUAAUGUGUAUUUUUUUCUUUCAGUUUGUUUAUAUGGAGUGUUACAUUGACUGAUUUUCAU
Molecule: non-coding RNA, 9728 nt
Organism: Cricetulus griseus (Chinese hamster)
Lineage: Eukaryota; Metazoa; Chordata; Mammalia; Rodentia; Cricetidae
Source: RefSeq, a predicted model, not a curated record